CCUACGAGGGGCUGCAGUGAGGAAUAUUGGUCAAUGGACGAGAGUCUGAACCAGCCAAGUAGCGUGAAGGAUGACUGCCCUAUGGGUUGUAAACUUCUUUUAUAUGGGAAUAAAACAGGGUAUGCAUACCCUCUUUUAUGUACCAUAUGAAUAAGAAUCGGCUCACUCCGUGCCCGCAGCCGCGGUAAUACGGAGGAUCCCAGCGUUAUCCGGAUUUAUUGGGUUUACAGGGAGCGUAGGUGGAUUGUUAAGUCAGUUGUGAAAGUUUGCGGAUCAACCGGAAAAUUGCAGUUGAAACUGGCAGUCUUGAGUACAGUAGGGGUGGGCGGAAUUCAUGGUGUAGCGGUGAAAUGCUUAGAUAUCACGAAGAACUCCGAUUGCGAAGGCAGCUCACUGGACUGCAACUGACACUGAUGCUCGAAAGUGUGGGUAUCAAACAGGAUUAGAUACCCUAGUAGUC
This 460-nucleotide ribosomal RNA is filed under the name uncultured bacterium. RNAcentral describes it as "partial 16S ribosomal RNA". It matches the Rfam family "Bacterial small subunit ribosomal RNA", at positions 338 to 795 of the family's 1533-position model. The record is from RNAcentral.